AUGCGCGGUCUGCCUCCCGCGGCGGGCCGGGUCUCCAGGGAGGACCUGAGUUUUCUUCACCCAUUGUCAGGGAGGCGCCAUCGCCCUGGCUUUGGGGCUGGGGCCUCCGGGGAGGUUCCGGUAGGGGCGUUGGAGAGGCCGCUCUUUUUGCAAGGCCCGAGACGGCGGGCCUUGCGCAGGCCGCCCUAUUCCGCGCCCUCAGGGCGUCAGUAUCAGCCUGAGGCUGGAUACCCCCGCUGGGCCCAGAUGCCCCCGCUGGGCCCGGAGCAUCCUCCGGCGCUGCCCUCCCAGAGCCACGCAGAGGCUGAGGUGGCGCGGGGGCGGCCCUGGCUCCGCGAGAAGCGGCGGCAGCGAGGGCUGGAGGACCCGGGCUGCGGGGCUCCGGGGCGUCUGGCCUGGGUGGGACUGAGCCCAUCCAGGGACUGGGACUCCGGGGUUCUGGUGUAGGUGGAUCCGGGGCAGGCUCAGGACCAAGUCCCUCUCCUUCCACCAAGGAGCGCCCAGAGGCCGGCGGGAGCUCCAGGUUCACCUCCUCCUCCUCCAGCUUGACUACAACACAAAUGAAUCCACUCAAAUGUUGGCAAGUGGAGCAGAGUCCCAGAACAGGUGCUGGAGCAGCCCCCCUGGAAGUGAUGCAGCAUCCAGGAAGACGGAGGAAGGGGCGGAGAAGGACCUCUGCUUUCCAGGCUGCCUUUUAUACUGCCUCUGGUCACCUGACGUGGAACGUACCCUAACCUAAUCAGUUACAUGAGGCGCUUGGAAACCACCGUCAAUUGGACCGCACUGGGAAACACAGAUGAACAAAGUCAACACCGCUUUGUCCUUCAGUGCCUGGCUCCUUUUUCAGCUCGUCUUGCGACUCUAGGUAUUGGAGUCCAGGGAGGGGUACGUCGCCUUUACCCUGUGCUUGCCACGAUC
This 918-nucleotide long non-coding RNA is filed under the name Homo sapiens (human). RNAcentral's name for it is "family with sequence similarity 66 member D". Lineage: Eukaryota; Metazoa; Chordata; Mammalia; Primates; Hominidae. The record is from RNAcentral.